Long non-coding RNA from Passer domesticus (house sparrow), 2130 nucleotides. RefSeq lists it as uncharacterized. The transcript is spliced from 3 exons. The record is from RefSeq and is a predicted model, not a curated record. NCBI's taxonomy places the organism in Eukaryota, Metazoa, Chordata, Aves, Passeriformes, Passeridae.
UGAGGUAUUCAGCUGCAAUUUCUUUUCAGCAAACUCGUUAACUGACUUUUCUAGACAGUCACUGCUUGUCAUUAUUUGUGACAAGGGAGUUUUGAAAACUGUUCUGUGAGCUAGUGGUAGAAAGUACUUCAAAUGUACAUUAAAAGUACCUCCUCAUUUGUUUUACAAAGAAAAUCCUAGCAAUAGCUCAGCUGAAAUUUAAUAACUGCCUGGUUUCCCUGCUGUUGCUGGUCUCAUCCAAAGGCAAUGGCUGGGGGAUGAAUGGAUUGAGAGAAACCCUGUGGAGAAGAACUUGGGGGUGCUGGUGGAUGAAAAUUUGGACAUGAGCUGGCAGUGUGUGCUUGGAGAUUAGGAAGUAUCCUGGUCUGCAUCCAGAGCAGUGUGGGUGACAAAAGUCAAGGGAGCUGAUUCUGCCCCUGUGCUCUCCACUCCGGUGAGACUCCACCCUGAGUACUGCAUCCUGCUUGGGAUCCUCAGCAGAAGAAAGCCAUGGACCUGUUGGUUUGAAAUGAAAGGAGGGGAGAUUCAGACUAGCUAUCAAUGAGAGCAGGAGUCCAAGGACAAGCAACAAGAUUGAUUGAUUCCCUUCCUUGACAGUUCAGGACCAGAACCACUAACACAUGCUGCAGAGAAGCUCACUGUGCACAUCUUUGAUCCACAUUGUGUACAUAAGUGUAGCAUGUUCAUAAACUAAGGGAGUAGGAUAUUGUUGACCUGAAUGCCACUGAAAGCACUUGCACUCACAAAAAAUAUAAUGAUCUCUGUUUAAUAAAGCCACACAUGACUUGCAUAAACUGGAGCUGAAAAUUUAGGAUUGCAAAAUUCUAGCAUAUUCUGAAUUGAAAGGAUCCCACACGAGGAUCAUCCAAUCCAACUCCUGGCCCUCCACAGCACUAUCCCCAAGAGUUACACCAUGUACCUGAGAGUGCUGUCCAGAAGCUUCUUGAGCUCUGUCAAGUUUGAUGUUGUGACCAUUUCCCUGGGGAGCUGCUCCAGUGCCCAACCACCCUUUGGGUGAAGAACUGUUUUCUAAUAUCCAACCCAAACCUCCUCUGACACAACUUCAGGCCAUUCCCUGGGGUCCUGUCAGUGUCACCACAGAGAAGAGAUCAGUGUCUGCCCUUCCUCUUCCCUUCCUUGAGGAAGCUGUAACUGCAGUGAGGUCUCCCCUCAGUCUCCUCCAGGCUGACCAGACCACUCCAGGCCCUCAGCCACUCCUCACACACCUUCCCCUGAAGGCCCUUCACCGUCUUUAUUGUUCUCCUUUGGACAUUCUCUAAUAGUUUAAUGUCUUCCUUUUAUUGUGGCACCCAAAACUGUCCGCAGAACUUUAAGUGAGACCACCCCAGUGCAGAGCAGAGCUGGAGAAUUCCCUCCGUUGCCCGGCUGGUGAUGCUGUGCCUGAUGCCCCCAGGACAGGGAUGUCCUUCCUGGCUGCCAGGGAACUGCUGACUCUUGUUCAACUUCCUGUUGACCAGGACCCCCAGGUCCCUUUCCGUGGUGCUGCUUUCCAGCAUCUCAUUCCCCAGGCUGUCUAUAUAUCCAGAGCUGCCCCAUCCCAGGUGAAGAAUCUAGAACUUUUCCUUGUUCCAUUCAUAUGGUUAGUGAUUUCCCAGUCCUCUCAUUUCUCGAGGUCUCUCUGCAGGGCCUCUCUGCCUUCAAGGGAGUCAACAGCUCUUCCCAAAUUUUUGUCAUCUGAAAACUUACUUAGUGUACUAUGGGUAUAUAAGGGUCUGCAUAGCAAAAAUAACUUGAAAAGAUUAUUUGGGGCAAUAUUGAAAGAGUAAGGCAUGUCCCUCCUGACCAAGACUGUCACAAGCAGCAGCAUACAAUAGAGGACUAGGCAAGGAGCCCGCAGCCUGAGAUCAAAUCCUUCUGUUCUUGAUCUGCUCAGCAGAGUGAAGAGGUCAGUGCUUCUCUUUGUUUCCCUUCCCACUGAAGUUCUUGGUUUCUCCUUUCUGUGUUUUGACCUUUUUGCCACCUUUGACUUUUAUCUCUUUGGAGCCAGACCAUCUUUCCCAUAAAGUUUAGUAGAAUGUGUCUCUGGGUCUUUGUGUGAGACUUUAGACACUUUAGGCCGCAAUUAUAAUUUGGCAGGAAGGAAAUGAAUUUCUUUCUUAGGCAGGGAAA